GUGGGGAAUAUUGGACAAUGGGCGAAAGCCUGAUCCAGCCAUGCCGCGUGUGUGAAGAAGGUCUUCGGAUUGUAAAGCACUUUAAGUUGGGAGGAAGGGCAGUAAGUUAAUACCUUGCUGUUUUGACGUUACCAACAGAAUAAGCACCGGCUAACUCCGUGCCAGCAGCCGCGGUAAUACGGAGGGUGCGAGCGUUGUCCGGAUUUAUUGGGUUUAAAGGGUGCGUAGGCUGGAAGGUCAGUCAGCGGUGAAAAGCUGUCGCUUAACGAUAGUCUUGCCGCAGAUACUUCCUUUCUUGGAUGAGGAGGAGGCCACUGGAACGGAGGGUGUAGCAGUGAAAUGCAUAGAUAUCAUCCAGAACACCGAUUGCGAAGGCAGGUGGCUGUACCUUAAUCGACGCUGAUGCACGAAAGCAUGGGGAGCAAACAGGAUUAGAAACCCUGGUAGUCC
Molecule: ribosomal RNA, 450 nt
Filed under: uncultured bacterium
Lineage: Bacteria
Description: partial 16S ribosomal RNA
Rfam family: Bacterial small subunit ribosomal RNA
Source: RNAcentral